Molecule: long non-coding RNA, 234 nt
Filed under: Glycine max (soybean)
Lineage: Eukaryota; Viridiplantae; Streptophyta; Magnoliopsida; Fabales; Fabaceae
Description: long non-coding RNA (GMAX_LNC001647)
Source: RNAcentral
GGUGAGAAGCCAGAACCAGUACGCACCCACCUCCGCAACAUGAUUAUUGUGCCUGAGAUGAUUGGUAGCAUUAUUGGAGUGUACAAUGGCAAAACCUUUAAUCAGGUUGAAAUCAAACCUGAGAUGAUUGGGCAUUAUCUUGCUGAGUUUUCUAUUUCAUACAAACCCGUUAAGCACGGGAGACCUGGUAUUGGUGCUACUCACUCAUCCAGGUUUAUUCCUCUUAAGUGAAGA